This 383-nucleotide small RNA is filed under the name Vigna angularis var. angularis. Its description in RNAcentral is "Non-protein coding transcript". The record is from RNAcentral. Lineage: Eukaryota; Viridiplantae; Streptophyta; Magnoliopsida; Fabales; Fabaceae.
CUAUUUUGAAGUUCAGUCCAGAGUCUGAAACUGGUGUCCAAACUCUCCUAGAUGAAGCGCACUUAAACAACACUUUUAGAGAUGCCUUGAAUCUUGAAUUAGUCAAACCUGAUUCGCUAUCAUCGCUGGAGAAAUUUUGAUAUCUUCGGAGCAUUUAGGACAACACAGCUUACGCCAGAAAUUGAAGUCAGAUUCCUCGGUGGAUACGCUGGUUGUCAUUCCACUUUCCAACAAGCAGCAAAUAUAUUUAGAGACGGGUGGGCAGUCAAAUGUACCAGAGCAGCUGGGGCAUGACAAGACCAAUGGCUCACAUCCUCGAUACCUCUCCUCGUCGUUAGCAGCAGACAAGAGUAAACUGCUAGAAUCAUCAUUAAAAGCUUCAC